AGCAUGACUAGAAUAUAUGAUAAGAGUAUUUAGUUUAUAGGAAACUGACAAACUCUCUUCCAAAGUGACUGUACCAUUUUUGUAUUUCCACCAGCAAU
This 98-nucleotide microRNA precursor is filed under the name Marmota monax (woodchuck). Lineage: Eukaryota; Metazoa; Chordata; Mammalia; Rodentia; Sciuridae. The record is from RNAcentral.